CGUAUCACCCAAGACAACUUUACGGAGUUGACGAUUGACGGAGCGAAGCGACGUCAAAGCGUUCAUUAAAGUCGAGUUGGCUUAGGGAUACGUUCGUUGGGUAGGGGAGCGUUCUGUAAGCCUGUGAAGGUGUGUCGUGAGGCAUGCUGGAGGUAUCAGAAGUGCGAAUGCUGACAUAAGUAACGAUAAAGCGGGUGAAAAGCCCGCUCGCCGGAAGACCAAGGGUUCCUGUCCAACGUUAAUCGGGGCAGGGUGAGUCGACCCCUAAGGCGAGGCCGAAAGGCGUAGUCGAUGGGAAACGGGUUAAUAUUCCCGUACUUGGUGUUACUGCGAAGGGGGGACGGAGAAGGCUAUGUUGGCCGGGCGACGGUUGUCCCGGUUUAAGCGUGUAGGUGUGUGUUCCAGGUAAAUCCGGUUCACUUUAACACUGAGGCGUGACGACGAGGCACUACGGUGCUGAAGCAACAAAUGCCCUGCU
RNAcentral lists this ribosomal RNA (478 nucleotides) under Salmonella enterica subsp. enterica serovar Typhimurium. RNAcentral's name for it is "partial 23S ribosomal RNA". It matches the Rfam family "Bacterial large subunit ribosomal RNA", at positions 1154 to 1606 of the family's 2925-position model. Lineage: Bacteria; Pseudomonadati; Pseudomonadota; Gammaproteobacteria; Enterobacterales; Enterobacteriaceae. The record is from RNAcentral.